AUGGGACUACUUGCCAGGUCUGUAUCUGCAAGCAUCCCUACCUUGGGUGUCAUAGGCGAUUUCAGUGAGAUCCUGUACUCUCAUGAGAAGGAGGGAGGAGCGGCAUGUCCAACCCGUAUGAUGCAAAAUUUUCAUGAUGCCCUUGUGGAUGGCGAACUAGAUGAUAUGGGAUAGAAUGGGGAGCAAUUUACCUGGAGAAGGAGGCGCAUACGAGAACGCUUGGACCGGGCAAUCUGUAAUGCAUGAUUUCAUGGAUUAUUCCCAAGUGUUGUUGUCACAAAUGCGUCACGUACUAAGUCUGAUCACAGGCCUGUAGUACUAGAAACUGAGGGAGAGAGCAGUCCCAGGCAGCAAGGGCAAAGACAACAGCGAUUCGAGGCUCGCUGGCUACAGGAAGAUGAGAUGAUGGACCAUGUGGCUGAGGCUUGGUCACGCACUUCAGUAACUUUGCCACUUGCAGAACGAACAGCAGCAGUGCAUAAGGAGUUGCAUGACUGGGAUCGUAAAGUACUAAAAUCACCCCAGCGCCGGCUGAAAACUUUGAAGGAGGAGCUUGAACAAUUGUGA
This 567-nucleotide ribosomal RNA is filed under the name Triticum aestivum (bread wheat). Its description in RNAcentral is "partial small subunit ribosomal RNA". Lineage: Eukaryota; Viridiplantae; Streptophyta; Magnoliopsida; Poales; Poaceae. The record is from RNAcentral.